This 466-nucleotide ribosomal RNA is filed under the name uncultured bacterium. RNAcentral describes it as "partial 16S ribosomal RNA". It matches the Rfam family "Bacterial small subunit ribosomal RNA", at positions 29 to 523 of the family's 1533-position model. The record is from RNAcentral.
AACGGACGCUGGCGGUAUGCUUAACACAUGCAAGUCGAACGAACAAAAUUGGGGCUUGCUCCAAUUUUAGUGAGUGGCAAACGGGUGAGUAACACGUGGGAAUCUACCUAUCAGUACGGAAUAACAUUUGGAAACAGAUGCUAAUACCGUAUAUUCUCCAAGGAGGAAAGAUUUAUCGCUGAUAGAUGAGCCCGCGUAAGAUUAGGUAGUUGGUAGGGUAAUGGCCUACCAAGCCGACGAUCUUUAGCUGGUCUGAGAGGAUGAUCAGCCACACUGGGACUGAGACACGGCCCAGACUCCUACGGGAGGCAGCAGUGGGGAAUAUUGGACAAUGGGCGAAAGCCUGAUCCAGCAAUACCGCGUGAAUGAUGAAGGCCUUAGGGUUGUAAAGUUCUUUUAGUUGGAAAGAUAAUGACGGUGCCAACAGAAAAAGCCCCGGCUAACUCCGUGCCAGCAGCCGCCGUAA